Molecule: long non-coding RNA, 3633 nt
Organism: Wasmannia auropunctata (little fire ant)
Lineage: Eukaryota; Metazoa; Arthropoda; Insecta; Hymenoptera; Formicidae
Exons: 2
Source: RefSeq, a predicted model, not a curated record
GCAUUUAUGAAAAUAAAAAUUGAUGAUGCUGAUAACAUUCAAGAGUUCAUCUUUUAUAUGUGACUUUUUCAAACUUCAGGCGUUUCGUAUAUUAUUAUGAAGAUGUGCGCUGAUAAAGCAUUAGUGAAGAUACAUCGGGAUAUAAAAAAUGACGCCGUGUGCAUGUGAUUUUACGCUUACGUUCUACAUCGGGGCGCCUUCGAGGUACACGACGCCCCCCGGUAUCUAAUGCAUAUUAUGGAUAUCUCACUUGUUAGCAUUUGCCGCAGAGAUAUAUUAUUGAUGAUUAAUACAUGAAUUCCCCCUACAUUCAUUAUCGUACUAUUAAUGCGGUUUCAUCUAUACGUAUCGUCUAAUAAUCGUUAAUAAUUGGAAAAAAAGUUUUUGCGCGUACACAGUGUCAUGACACGAAUAUUACACAUUAAUAUUUAUAACAUUUCGCAGUUAAAACACCUCGAUACUCGCAUUAAUUACUAUAUAUAUCUCACAUUAAUUGUGGUAAUAUAUUAGUAAUGGUAACUCCAAUGGCAACGUAACGCAUGUAAUAUAUAUUUAUGUAUAUAUAACAUAAUGGACAUUUAUAGUCGCGAUCUAUUGUUUUAACACAUUUAAGAGUAAGAUUUAUCAUAACAACCAUAAUGACUAGGAAACAUUGGAAAUGUUUUAUAAUCUAUUAUGGCAACAGGGGCUAAGUGAUGGUUCGUACAUUCAUGUUUUUCUUCUUUUUUUUUUGUUAUUCAGAAAAUUGCGACGCAUUAUUUAAUUGCUAUUGUUCUAUUAAUAUUUCCGUUCGGUUAAUUGCAAAUCACAUCGAAACGUUGAACAUUCGGUAAAACUAUUGCCGUAUUCGUACAAUCAUACAGAUAAAACGUUAAUAAUACAAAAAAUCUCAUCGUUAAUUUUUCGCCGUAUCAUUAAAUCGUUGUUCUUGAAAAAAUAUACAUGAAAGCUAAAUGAAAAGAAAACACUUGUCGCAAUGGAUUACCAUUUCACGGUCGCGAUUUAACAAUCGAGAAGUCUUAAUGGAUAUUACGUUUCACUUCAGUGACACGAAUUUCUUUAUACCUUUAUCCGUAAUAUAUAAAAUACCGAUACAAAAGUUUUACAAAAAGGCGCAAAUGUGAAUACGAUGCGCCGAAAAACAAUGAGUCCAAUGCCCUUCCAAAUUCAAAAGUAAAUCGAUAAUUUCACCCGAUGUUUCGCAUCAAGCGCCGUUUUUAUAAUAGCUAUAUGUUAGGCAAAAAACAGCAUGCUUUGACUCAGGUAUCGGCUCGUCCCGAAAAAUGGUCUACUCUCUAUUUUUUUAUAUCUCCCCUCGUGGACUAUUGCGAAAAGGAUCUUGACGAUCACUGAACGAUUAUGCUCGCUGCUCAUCGCGCUUUUCGCUCUUGCUAACAGCAGGCGGCUCAAAUCAAUUGAAUUUUCCAACGAAUAGAAUAGAUUUUAAUUCUUAUCGGCGCAGAGCUAAAUUUACAUUUUGCUAUUUUCAAGAUGUUAAUAAUUAUUUCAAGGUAUUUAAGUGAUACUUCCGCUAUUUCAAUCUUCGUUCAAGCGACAAAUGCACGAUCGCAACGAGCAUCUCGUUGUGCACCUAACGAUUAACGUUGCAUAUCAUAGGAAUAAUUACAUAUUUGUAUUUAUAUAUAUAUGCGUUUGCAUCUAUAUAUAUUUGUCUUUAUAUUUAUAUAUAUUUUUAUAUAUAUUAUUUAUAUAUACUCUUUAUAUAUUUUUAUACACGUUCUCGUUAAUAUUGUACUACACUUCUUCGCGUACUUCGCUAGAGGCUAUAAAUUUAUAUUCUUACAUUUGACUCGUUUCACCUUAGAGCUUCGCCAAACUCUGAUAAUCCUUAGUAAUUAACGAUGACAGAUAGAACUCGCAUUUUAUGUGUGUGUGUAUGUGUGUAUGUGUGUAUGUAUGUUAUUCUAAUUCUUUCCCUCCAUUGGCUUAAUGGAGGGAAAGCUACUUGCGUAUUGGCAGGUGAUACAUCUAGUGCGCGCCAAUCUACGCGGGCGCGUGAUUUAUGAUACUGAUACGAACAUUGUUCUACAUUAAGAUCGUCUUCCGAUCUCUUUCUUCCUUUCUUCCGUUCGUUUUUCACCCGUUUCCAUCGCUCAGGACACGUACUCGUUCUGUUGAUUCGUUGUCCUCUCUCAGUGAGCUACUAAAAAUACGCUUAUGUCCUUAAGUACCGUUAAAAGUUUAUCGUUAAAAAGAAACGCGCCGUGUCGUUCGCGAUUCCUCUCCUGAUUUUUGUUCGAGCUCUCUUCGAUCUCUUAUCGAUCGAUGUAUUCUACUUGCAUUGAUCUUGCUUUUUAUUAUGAGAUCAGGGAGCUGAUCUUCGUAAUCGUCAACUUUUCCAUCUUUCAUUCUAAAUUAUACAGAAAUGUGAUAUAUCCGAUCAAAUCUUACUAUUUUAUAUUAAGAGAAUUUAGUGAAUUCCCUUAACAUUAAAAUAAAGAUAUUCAUACUUUUCAUUUUUUUUUUAAUUACUUGAUCGACCUUCGAUGUAAUUAAAUCUAAUUCGUUUGAUGGAAAGUAUGUAAGUAAGCCGUAAAAUAUAAAAUAAAAUAACAGCGACAUUAUCGAAUCUAUUCCAAAAGACGGUAUUUGAUCAGUACAAACAUAUUAAAAUUCUAUAAUUGCAACAGAUAUAAAAAAAGCCGCCAUUCAUUCAGACCAUCCUCGAACUGCUACACUUUUGCUUACGUUGCAUUUUUUUUCUAUUACGCUCGAAAUCACCACGAACCGCAACGAAUCGUCCGCUUGUACUCAUCAUCCAUUACAACUCUAUCGUUUCUGUUUUUUUUAUCACUUUUCGCGACGAUUGAAUCGCACGCACUUCGCACACAGUAAUGUCAGAAGUCAUCACCGUUGGUAUUCAGCCUCGAUUCAAGGUUCGUCGAAACGUCGGCCGCCGCGUGAAUGUCAGCCAAUUCGAAAGUCACGGCGCGGUUUUCGAGCACGUGGCGGUCAACGAGUCGAUCAUGGACCUCGAUCCAACCCUUUCUCCCGCGUGGGUGGUCCGCGUUCGUGGUCAUCGAAGCGUCACGUUUCCGAUUCUCCCUUCCUCUCCUCGGGAGCAUGAUCAACGUGCUCGCGGGCGCCCGGGUAAAGAUCAUUCCGCUCGAGAAAGCGCGGACGAGCACGGCCGCCCUUUCGUCGAACGCUCGCCUACUAAUCUACGUAAUCUGUUUUGGAUUAUACGUGUAUUAUAAUAUCUUGCAUAAUCCAACACACUCUGACCGAUUAUGUUAAUUUUUUUUUUUAAGAUCCCUAACGAAUCUACAUAAAUUAGUUAUUAGUUAGACCUGUGUCUUCCUGAAAUCUUAGCGCGAUAUAUAUCCUCAAUAUUUUUGCUUUCCUGGCACGAUAGGCUGACUUUAAUGAUUAACGGAUUAAAUAACAUCGACAUCAUUACCGUACAGUAAUAUUACUUAUAUAGCGUUACAAUUUAAUUUUUUUUUUCAUUUGUGUACGUGUGUAUGUAAUGUGUAUGUGUAUGAAUGGAUGUCAUACAUAUAUUGGGCUAGCACGCAUUGAAAUCAAGGAGGUAACGCACAGUACCCGGGCCGCGACGUGUACAUUCGUCGCGCCCACACGCCUCAUUCGGCUAUGAUCGCUACUUUUUUU